GGAGGACAAUACCUGUGCUGUGAAGGCAUCAAUAGAAACCUAACCAGUUUCCAAGAUGAAAAGAUGAUAGAAGAUGUCACAUCUUCAACUGAAGGCACUCCAACAGCAGACAAACCUGCGAAGAUUGACAAAGCCGUGCAGACAGACAGUGAUGAAAAAUUCACUUUGAAGACAAAAAACCAGAGACCACUUUCAAUAAACCAUAACAUGCAACCCAACCAGAUGGAAAUCUAUGGGGAACAUGCGAUACCUUACAGUCAUGUUGGAGUCAUUUAUAUCGGCAGUUCUUCUGAUGAGGACGACGAUGACAUGAAGGAAGAUGGCGCUGAUGUGGACCGGACCUCCCCCCCAGAAUGACAUGUUAUUUUCGUUACUUUUCAAGCCACAUAUAAGCUCUUUAUAAAAGUAAUAGCAAUCAUUAAUUGUAAUCAAUAUAUGUAACCAACGUAGUUCGACACGUGUGCAUCACAUGAGAAAAUGUAGAAAAAUAUUAUAUCAUCAUCUUUGAGUUGUCUUUACAUUUUAAGAAAUGUUUUAAUCUCUAUUUUUGAUAUAUCUGGUAAGCCCACAUAUGACCGGGAAAACUCACCGUUUUGUAACAAAGCCAUGUAAACACGUGAAGCUUGUAAACAUUAAAUCUCAAGGUUCCAAAAGUC
Oryzias latipes (Japanese medaka) is the source of this 656-nucleotide long non-coding RNA. RefSeq lists it as uncharacterized. The record is from RefSeq and is a predicted model, not a curated record. Lineage: Eukaryota; Metazoa; Chordata; Actinopteri; Beloniformes; Adrianichthyidae.